Molecule: long non-coding RNA, 1345 nt
Organism: Heterocephalus glaber (naked mole-rat)
Lineage: Eukaryota; Metazoa; Chordata; Mammalia; Rodentia; Bathyergidae
Source: Ensembl
UAACUGGCCAGUUACUAAGGUUCCAGGUACAAACAACAACAGUAUUACCCAUGACUUCAUCGGCUCCACCUUGCUCCACCCUGCUCCAAAUCAGGGCUCCUGACAUUGGAACUCAUUGCCCCAGCAACCAGAAUGAUGCAACAAACAGAGGAGAACAUGCCAACUUGGAGGGAAGCUGCCAAGGUUGACUCUCCCUCUGCCCUUGGUAACAAGAUAACCUUGGAUAGAUCACUUCACUUCUGUAAGCCUCAGGAUCCUCAUCAGUGAAGGGCACUUCUCAUGACUUACUGCUUGAAUUGCUUAAGGGAGAGGAUUCGCACAGUGUCCUUGGCAGUGUAUUGAUGCUAAAGGGAGCUCCCUCCCUCCCUUUCCUCCUCUGCCUUUCCUCCUCUGCCUUUUUCUGCUCACAAGAGUGACCAAAGUGUCAAAGUGGUGUUUGGGGGCACAACAAUAUUUUCUUGUCCUUUGAGGCUCCAAGGACAACUGAUAGCCUUCUAGCAGGACUUGUCAGUCCCACGACACCCACAGUAUUUGCGAGACGCCUGAUCCCAGAUUGAUACCUGGCUGAAAGCCAGACCUCCAAUAUACCAAUUUGCUGAAUGUGCUAAGAAUGUUCUUGAAGACUAGCCUUGUUGAGUAUAUUCAAUGAAUAUGAAUAUGGCCUUCUUCUUAAUAAUUUAGACAUGAAUAUAUUCAGUGAACAUUAUUCUCAGCAUUUUAAGCUCAAUUUGUCUGAAGCUAAAUAUCAUGGGGGCUGUUUAGCUUUCUUAUGACUACUUUCUAGUGAAGAAUAGAUCUUGAAUAUCUUAUUAAGCAGAAUCUUGAAUAUAAUUAAAAUAUCUUGAAUAAAUUUUUGGAUAAGAGUAUUCAAGAAGUAUAAAUUCAUUGAGUAUUAUCAGUGAACAUAUUAAAAUAGCAUAUUUUAAGAACGUAGUCAUUGACUACACUCAAAAGGAAUGUAUUCAUAUUCAUUAGCUACAUUCAAUAAAAAUCUAAGGAAGAUUUUGGAAGAGUGACAAAUUUAACCAAUUUGAUCAAUAUCUUGAAUUUUUUGGGAAUUAUCUGUCACGGAAAUGAUUCUGGUGGAUUGGCCAGAUUCACUGCAAGACUGCUGGGGAAGACACUUAGAGCACUUCCAUGAGGUCUCAGAGGAAGUCCUCCAAGAUUCACCUCCAACUUCCCUCAUCUCCAGUUUCGGCAAGAGCACUGAUCCCUCACCUCUAUCCCCAACUCUCUCUGUGCCAGAAGGCAACCCACAUUUUAAGAGGAUUCUGUCCUCUUUAUUCUUUUUAAAACAUAAGCAUUUAUUUAUGCUCCAGGAAUAUAGAUUAUGAACCAAAUAUAG